UCUAGAUAGUCAAGUUCUGAUCCAG
This 25-nucleotide non-coding RNA is filed under the name Callithrix jacchus (white-tufted-ear marmoset). Lineage: Eukaryota; Metazoa; Chordata; Mammalia; Primates; Cebidae. RNAcentral also lists the same sequence under 2 other names. The record is from RNAcentral.